This 490-nucleotide ribosomal RNA is filed under the name uncultured bacterium. RNAcentral describes it as "partial 16S ribosomal RNA". It matches the Rfam family "Bacterial small subunit ribosomal RNA", at positions 28 to 507 of the family's 1533-position model. The record is from RNAcentral.
GAUGAACGCUAGCUACAGGCUUAACACAUGCAAGUCGAGGGGCAGCAUGGUCUUAGCUUGCUAAGGCCGAUGGCGACCGGCGCACGGGUGAGUAACACGUAUCCAACCUGCCGUCUACUCUUGGACAGCCUUCUGAAAGGAAGAUUAAUACAAGAUGGCAUCAUGAGUCCGCAUGUUCGCAUGAUUAAAGGUAUUCCGGUAGACGAUGGGGAUGCGUUCCAUUAGAUAGUAGGCUGGGUAACGGCCCACCUAGUCGUCGAUGGAUAGGGGUUCUGAGAGGAAGGUCCCCCACAUUGGAACUGAGACACGGGCCAAACUCAUACGGGAGGCAGCAGUGAGGAAUAUUGGUCAAUGGGCGCAGGCCUGAACCAGCCAAGUAGCGUGAAGGAUGACUGCCCUAUGGGUUGUAAACUUCUUUUAUAAAGGAAUAAAGUCGGGUAUGUAUACCCGUUUGCAUGUACUUUAUGAAUAAGGAUCGGCUAACUCCGUG